RNAcentral lists this ribosomal RNA (400 nucleotides) under uncultured bacterium. RNAcentral's name for it is "bacterial SSU rRNA". It matches the Rfam family "Bacterial small subunit ribosomal RNA", at positions 355 to 753 of the family's 1533-position model. The record is from RNAcentral.
UAGGGAAUAUUGGGCAAUGGAGGAAACUCUGACCCAGCCAUGCCGCGUGCAGGAAGAAGGCCCUCUGGGUUGUAAACUGCUUUUGAUAGGGAAGAAAGAGGUCAUGCGUGACCAGUUGACGGUACCUAUCGAAUAAGCACCGGCUAACUACGUGCCAGCAGCCGCGGUAAUACGUAGGGUGCAAGCGUUGUCCGGAUUUAUUGGGUUUAAAGGGUGCGUAGGCGGUUUAUUAAGUCAGUGGUGAAAGACGAUCGCUCAACGAUUGCAGUGCCAUUGAUACUGGUAAACUUGAGUAGUGCAGAGGUAGCUGGAAUUGAUCGUGUAGCGGUGAAAUGCAUAGAUAUGAUCAAGAACGCCAAUUGCGAAGGCAGGUUACUGGACACUCACUGACGCUGAGGCA